This 802-nucleotide long non-coding RNA is filed under the name Nicotiana tabacum (common tobacco). Its description in RNAcentral is "long non-coding RNA (NTAB_LNC001566)". The record is from RNAcentral. Lineage: Eukaryota; Viridiplantae; Streptophyta; Magnoliopsida; Solanales; Solanaceae.
UUUAUGUCUUUCCUCUCUUGGACAUCAUCAAACCUUUGCCUUCUUAUUUUUUCUCAGGGUGCUGCUCGCAAAUUAGCUACACAGAGAAAGAAUAUAGAGGUCGUUGAAUCUGUUGGUGUAGCAGCGAAGCGAGUGAAGCUGCCAGCCUAUUUAAUUAAAAAAGAAGGGAUCUUGCACUUUUAUUAAAACACGACCAGCAGCAACAGCGACUAGCGUUCCCUUUUCAACUUCAACAGAGAUUCAGUGGCAACAGGUAUGUGAUGAUUUCUUCCUCCUCCUUCUUCUUCUUCUUCUUAUUCUUCUUCAGCGUCCAAAUAGCAGUGAAAUACUGGCGAAUUUUUUUUUACCUUCGAUUCUUCUUUCUAAGUCUUCUCCUCUUCGCUAAAAUGCUGCCUAGUUCUUCUUUCAUUGUUUUUAUGCCGCCCAGUUUUAACAGAAUGGUAUAUUGCCCUUCCUCUGAAUAUCAUAAGGAGGUUCAACUUCGGAAUUCAUGGUUAGGAGCAGUUUUCUAAGUAUUUCCCACUGAUGAUAUGUAUCUAUUAAGUUAUUAUUUUCUGGGGGUGAACUGGGGUGCAAAAGACACUAUUCAUUACUAACUAGUAAAGGGCUGCAAGAUGAACUAGGGUGCAAAAGGCACAAUUUCUCAGUUGAAAAGGCUACCUAAAUGCACAACCACAGGGCCUUUGAGCUUACUAAUCCCAAAAGCUGGUGUACAUAUCAGAAAGGUGAAAAAGCUACAAGUAUGCUUAAAAAAAGUGGCUUUUAAGUAUAAGGGCUUAAAAGCACUUUUUAAGUGCUGGAG